This 888-nucleotide ribosomal RNA is filed under the name uncultured marine eukaryote. RNAcentral describes it as "SSU rRNA". It matches the Rfam family "Eukaryotic small subunit ribosomal RNA", at positions 609 to 1519 of the family's 1831-position model. The record is from RNAcentral.
GUUGUUGCGGUAAAAAAGCUCGUAGUUGGAUUUCUACCGAAGAUAGCCGGUCGGGUCUUCGACCUUGUAUCUGGUUUUGUCUUUGGUAUCCUCAUGGGGAACGUUGCUGCGCUUCAUUGCGUGGUGCGGUAUCCAUGACUUUUACUUUGAGGAAAUUAGAGUGUUCACGGCAGGCAAACGCCCUGAAUAUAUUAGCAUGGAAUAAUAACAUAGGAUCUUCGUCCUAUUUUGUUGGUUUCUAGGGCUAAGAUAAUGAUUAAUAGGGAUAAUUGGGGGCAUCUGUAUCAACGCGUCAGAGGUGGAAUUCUUGGAUUGCGUUGCGACAAACUACUGCGAAAGCAUUUGCCAAGGAUGUUUUCAUUGAUCAAGAACGAAAGUAAGGGGAUCGAAGAUGAUUAGAUACCAUCGUAGUCUUUACCAUAAACUAUGCCAACUAGGGAUCGGCGGUCGUUCUUUCUAUGACUCCGUCGGCACCUUAUGAGAUAUCAAAGUUUUUGGGUUCCGGGGGGAGUAUGGUCGCAAGGCUGAAACUUAAAGGAAUUGACGGAAGGGCACCACCAGGAGUGGAGCCUGCGGCUUAAUUUGACUCAACACGGGAAAACUCACCAGGUCCAGACAAAAAUAGGAUUGACAGAUUGAUAGCUCUUUCUUGAUUCUUUGGGUGGUGGUGCAUGGCCGUUCUUAGUUGGUGGAGUGAUUUGUCUGCUUAAUUGCGUUAACGAACGAGACCUCAGCCUGCUAAAUAGUGCGUUCUAACCUCGGUUAAAUCGAUCACUUCUUAGAGGGACUUUGCCCGCUUUAGGGUAGGGAAGUUUGAGUCUAAAACAGGUCUGUAAUGCCCUUAGAUGUUCUGGGCUGCACGCGCGCUACACUGAUGCGUUCAACGAG